GACGAACGCUGGCGGCGUGCUUAACACAUGCAAGUCGAACGGAAAGGCCCUGCUUUUGUGGGGUGCUCGAGUGGCGAAAGGGUGAGUAACACGUGAGUAACCUGCCCUUGACUUAGGGAUAACUUCAGGAAACUGGGGCUAAUACCGGAUAGGAGCUCCUGCUGCAUGGGGGGGGUUGGAAAGUUUCGGCGGUUGGGGAUGGACUCGCGGCUUAUCAGCUUGUUGGUGGGGUAGUGGCUUACCAAGGCUUUGACGGGUAGCCGGCCUGAGAGGGUGACCGGCCACAUUGGGACUGAGAUACGGCCCAGACUCCUACGGGAGGCAGCAGUGGGGAAUAUUGCACAAUGGGCGGAAGCCUGAUGCAGCAACGCCGCGUGCGGGAUGACGGCCUUCGGGUUGUAAACCGCUUUCGCCUGUGACGAAGCGUGAGUGACGGUAAUGGGUAAAGAAGCACCGGCUAACUACGUG
Molecule: ribosomal RNA, 468 nt
Filed under: uncultured bacterium
Lineage: Bacteria
Description: partial 16S ribosomal RNA
Rfam family: Bacterial small subunit ribosomal RNA
Source: RNAcentral